This 225-nucleotide ribosomal RNA is filed under the name uncultured bacterium. RNAcentral describes it as "partial 16S ribosomal RNA". It matches the Rfam family "Bacterial small subunit ribosomal RNA", at positions 587 to 811 of the family's 1533-position model. The record is from RNAcentral.
GUCUGAUGUGAAAGCCCUGGGCUCAACCCAGGAAGUGCAUUGGAAACUGUCAGACUUGAAUACGGGAGAGGGUAGUGGAAUUCCUAGUGUAGGAGUGAAAUCCGUAGAUAUUAGGAGGAACACCGGUGGCGRAGGCGGCUACCUGGACCGAUAUUGACGCUGAGACGCGAAAGCGUGGGUAGCAAACAGGAUUAGAUACCCUGGUAGUCCACGCCGUAAACGAUG